Molecule: ribosomal RNA, 373 nt
Filed under: uncultured eukaryote
Lineage: Eukaryota
Description: partial 18S ribosomal RNA
Rfam family: Eukaryotic small subunit ribosomal RNA
Source: RNAcentral
CAAUAGCGUAUAUUAAAGUUGUUGCAGUUAAAAAGCUCGUAGUUGAAUUUUUGCUUGCCGCCGAUGUCGGAACUUCCGUACGUUCGGCGGCGUGCAUCCUUGGGUGGAACCUGUGUGGCAUUAGGUUAUCGUGCAGGGGAUGCUCAUCGUUUACUGUGAAAAAAUUAGAGUGUUCAAAGCAGGCUUAUGCCGUUGAAUAUAUUAGCAUGGAAUAAUAAGAUAGGACCUUGGUACUAUUUUGUUGGUUUGCGCACCGAGGUAAUGAUUAACAGGGACAGUUGGGGGUAUUCGUAUUCCAUUGUCAGAGGUGAAAUUCUUGGAUUUCUGGAAGACGAACUACUGCGAAAGCAUUUACCAAGGAUGUUUUCAUUAA